Molecule: long non-coding RNA, 611 nt
Organism: Cyprinus carpio (common carp)
Lineage: Eukaryota; Metazoa; Chordata; Actinopteri; Cypriniformes; Cyprinidae
Exons: 3
Source: RefSeq, a predicted model, not a curated record
GCGGUUAAUCACAGUUCUUUCAUGAUUUAACAGGAGGAGGCAAUUCAUUUUACACAUAGGACAAGCUAAACAGGUCAGAGAAAGCAGCAUGAGUACACGAAGACAAACGGCCGCCGCAUGCAGCAUGACACUCACCCUCUGCUGCCUGUCUCUGAACUCUGCCGCUCGGGCGUCCUGCUCCUCCUGCAUUCUCCUGCGGGACACCUCCAGAGCCGCCUGACGCCUCACCACGGAGUCCGGGUCUGCAGACGGGACACACACACCUCUGCUAUCACACACACACACACACACAACUCUAACACCUAAAUCUGCAGACAGCAGUCACUGUGGGUUCUGACCUUGGCUGCUGGUGGAAACGGGCGAGCUCUGGCUGUCUGUGGAUCUGUUCUUGCGGAGAUGCUGAAGGAGCAUAUACACUCCCACACACGUGAAUGCCGCAUACCAGCCAUACUCAGACAGGAAAGAUGUCACUGAUUGCAGCAGAAAACUCAGAUCCUGGUUCUGAGGAGGGCCGUCUUCAUUUAGGACUCGCGCACCAUCUUGCGCCUCCAUACUAAAACGCCUUUAAGAUGUGUUUUUUUUAAUGUUAUUAUGAGAAUAUACAACAAUUA